This 284-nucleotide ribosomal RNA is filed under the name uncultured bacterium. Its description in RNAcentral is "partial 16S ribosomal RNA". It matches the Rfam family "Bacterial small subunit ribosomal RNA", at positions 524 to 810 of the family's 1533-position model. The record is from RNAcentral.
GACGUAGGGCGCGAGCGUUGUCCGGAUUUAUUGGGCGUAAAGAGCUCGUAGGCGGCUUGUCGCGUCGUUCGUGAAAACCCGGGGCUCAACUCCGGGCUUGCGGGCGAUACGGGCAGGCUAGAGUUCGGUAGGGGAGACUGGAAUUCCUGGUGUAGCGGUGAAAUGCGCAGAUAUCAGGAGGAACACCGGUAGCGGAAGGCGGGUCUCUGGGCCACUACUGACGCUGAGGAAGCGAAAGCUGGGGAGCGAACAGGAUUAGAACCGUCGAGUCAGUCCAAGACCAG